GCACUGUUGUGGAGUUCCACAAUAGGACGAAACGGCCGUCCAGUGC
Molecule: non-coding RNA, 46 nt
Organism: Schistosoma mansoni
Lineage: Eukaryota; Metazoa; Platyhelminthes; Trematoda; Strigeidida; Schistosomatidae
Source: Rfam